GGGGGGAAUAAGAUUUUUUUCCCAAAUGACAUAAAUGCCCCUAAGAAGCCGUACAACUUCCGACCCCGGACGGCCGAAGUCGGCGUCCGACUUCGGAACGACCGACCUCGAGACCUCCGACCUAAGAAAAACCCCGAUGUUCGAGGUCUACUCUUGUCAGCCACCUACUACGGCCGUGCGCCUCAGAGGUCUGGCCGAGGACCAUACCCUGACGCCCCUCUGGCAUUUAUUGCGCAUGGUCGCUGUAACCCUCCAGCUUACUCCACAAUAAAUGCGGAUCUCCGGCUUACUCCACAAUAAAUGCGGAUCUCCGGCUUACUCCACCAUAAAUGCGCAUGGCUCCUGUCAUCUACGGACUCUCAGCUCUCCACGGCAAAUCAGCCCAGCAGAGUCUAGUCAACUAUGAUAAGUCUCCGAUCUCGGCCAUACCUCCGACACCAAUGCAAUAAUUCGUCUGACAGCGUGCUAGUUCGGGUUAUACGACGCCCUCACCGCCGACAUCAGAGCAAUGAUUCGCCUGACUAUGCGCCGACCUGAACAACAUGCCGAGCCGUACUACGGCCUCGCCCUGUUACAUCGCAGGUAAACCGACCCCCGCCUAUAAAAGGGAGCCUUAGCCUCUCAGGAGGGGGUUGGAA
Molecule: long non-coding RNA, 638 nt
Filed under: Phoenix dactylifera (date palm)
Lineage: Eukaryota; Viridiplantae; Streptophyta; Magnoliopsida; Arecales; Arecaceae
Description: long non-coding RNA (PDAC_LNC001441)
Source: RNAcentral